GAUGAACGCUGGCGGCGUGCCUAAUACAUGCAAGUCGAACGCAUAGCGAAAGGUGCUUGCACCUUUCACGUGAGUGGCGAACGGGUGAGUAACACGUGGACAACCUGCCUCAAGGCUGGGGAUAACAUUUGGAAACAGAUGCUAAUACCGAAUAAAACUUAGUGUCGCAUGACACAAAGUUAAAAGGCGCUUCGGCGUCACCUAGAGAUGGAUCCGCGGUGCAUUAGUUAGUUGGUGGGGUAAAGGCCUACCAAGACAAUGAUGCAUAGCCGAGUUGAGAGACUGAUCGGCCACAUUGGGACUGAGACACGGCCCAAACUCCUACGGGAGGCUGCAGUAGGGAAUCUUCCACAAAGGGCGAAAGCCUGAUGGAGCAACGCCGCGUGUGUGAUGAAGGCGUUCGGGUCGUAAAGCACUGUUGUAUGGGAAGAACAGCUAGAAUAGGAAAUGAUUUUAGUUUGACGGUACCAUACCAGAAAGGGACGGCUAAAUACGUG
This 497-nucleotide ribosomal RNA is filed under the name uncultured bacterium. Its description in RNAcentral is "partial 16S ribosomal RNA". It matches the Rfam family "Bacterial small subunit ribosomal RNA", at positions 28 to 507 of the family's 1533-position model. The record is from RNAcentral.